GUACACGCUGUGACUAGCAUAUCAAUAAGCGGAGGAAAAGAAACUAACAAGGAUUCCCUUAGUAACGGCGAGUGAAGCGGGAAGAGCUCAAAUUUGAAAUCUUCAAGGUUUUACCUUGACGAAUUGUAGUUUAAAGAAGUGUUUUCUGCUGAAGUUUUGGUAAAAGUUCCUUUGGAAUAGGACAUCAUAGAGGGUGAGAAUCCCGUAUUUGACCAUUAUUUUCAGCUUUGUGAUACACUUUCAAAGAGUCGGAUUGUUUGGGAAUGCAGUCCAAAAUGGGUGGUAAAUUUCAUCUAAGGCUAAAUAUUGGCGAGAGACCGAUAGCGAACAAGUACCGUGAGGGAAAGAUGAAAAGAACUUUGAAAAGAGAGUUAAAUAGUACGUGAAAUUGUCAAAAGGGAAGCGUUUAACACCAGUGUUGUUUUCUGAAAAUCAACCUCUGUUAGCUUUAUGCAUGUUUGUUUAGACCUAAUCAGCUAUCUUUCAUGUUCUAUUGUUUGCAGUGGUGCACUUUUCAGUUUACAGGUCAACAUCAGUUUUUUUUACCGUAAAAAAGUUAAAGAAAGGUAGCUCAUGGCUCCGGUCGUGAGUGUUAUAGUCUUUUUCCUAUGCGGUAGGAGAGACUGAGGUCUGCAGUGUAGGCUAUUUGGCUAGAUACUCAGGUGCUAUGUGAUACCAUUUCAUAAACAACUUGUUGAUUAUGUUUUGUCUAUUGCAUACUCGCUUGUACUAUCAUACCUACGCUUAGGAUGUUGAGUAGCGACAUACGCAC
RNAcentral lists this ribosomal RNA (772 nucleotides) under uncultured Neocallimastigales. Its description in RNAcentral is "partial large subunit ribosomal RNA". The stretch from base 4 to 662 matches the Rfam family "Eukaryotic large subunit ribosomal RNA", at positions 24 to 664 of the family's 3401-position model. Lineage: Eukaryota; Fungi; Neocallimastigomycota; Neocallimastigomycetes; Neocallimastigales. The record is from RNAcentral.